This 497-nucleotide ribosomal RNA is filed under the name uncultured bacterium. Its description in RNAcentral is "partial 16S ribosomal RNA". It matches the Rfam family "Bacterial small subunit ribosomal RNA", at positions 28 to 507 of the family's 1533-position model. The record is from RNAcentral.
GAUGAACGCUGGCGGCGUGCCUAAUACAUGCAAGUCGAGCGAACAGACGAGGAGCUUGCUCCUCUGACGUUAGCGGCGGACGGGUGAGUAACACGUGGAUAACCUACCUAUAAGACUGGGAUAACUUCGGGAAACCGGAGCUAAUACCGGAUAAUAUAUUGAACCGCAUGGUUCAAUAGUGAAAGACGGUUUUGCUGUCACUUAUAGAUGGAUCCGCGCCGCAUUAGCUAGUUGGUAAGGUAACGGCUUACCAAGGCAACGAUGCGUAGCCGACCUGAGAGAGUGAUCGGCCACACUGGAGCUGAAACACGGACCAGAGUCCUAAGGGAGGCAGCAGAAGGGAAUGUUCCGCAGUGGGCGAAAGCAUGACGGAGCAACGGCGAGUGAGUGAUGACGGUCUUCGGAUCGUAAAACUCUGUUAUUAGGGAAGAACAAAUGUGUAAGUAACUAUGCACGUCUUGACGGUACCUAAUCAGAAAGCAACGGCUAACUACGUG